AACGAACGCUGGCGGCAGGCUUAACACAUGCAAGUCGAACGCCUGUAGCAAUACAGGAGUGGCAGACGGGUGAGUAACACGUGGGAACGUGCCCAAAGGUACGGAACAACUCCGGGAAACUGGAGCUAAUACCGUAUGUGCCCGAAAGGGGAAAGAUUUAUCGCCUUUGGAUCGGCCCGCGUCUGAUUAGCUAGUUGGUGGGGUAAUGGCCUACCAAGGCGACGAUCAGUAGCUGGUCUGAGAGGAUGGCCAGCCACACUGGGACUGAGACACGGCCCAGACUCCUACGGGAGGCAGCAGUGGGGAAUAUUGGACAAUGGGCGCAAGCCUGAUCCAGCCAUGCCGCGUGAGUGAUGAAGGCCUUAGGGUUGUAAAGCUCUUUCACCAGGGACGAUAAUGACGGUACCUGGAUAAGAAGCCCCGGCUAACUUCGUGCCAGCCGCCGCGGUAA
RNAcentral lists this ribosomal RNA (451 nucleotides) under uncultured bacterium. RNAcentral describes it as "partial 16S ribosomal RNA". It matches the Rfam family "Bacterial small subunit ribosomal RNA", at positions 29 to 523 of the family's 1533-position model. The record is from RNAcentral.